This 415-nucleotide ribosomal RNA is filed under the name uncultured prokaryote. Its description in RNAcentral is "bacterial SSU rRNA". It matches the Rfam family "Bacterial small subunit ribosomal RNA", at positions 505 to 918 of the family's 1533-position model. The record is from RNAcentral.
GUGUCAGCAGCCGCGGUAAUACGGAGGAUACAAGCGUUAUCCGGAAUGAUUGGGCGUAAAGUGUCCGCAGGUGGCACAUCAAGUCUGCUGUCAAAGCCCCCAGCUUAACUGGGAAGAGGCGGUGGAAACUGGUGAGCUAGAGAGCAAUAGGGGUAGAGGGAAUUCCCGGUGUAGCGGUGAAAUGCGUAGAGAUCGGGAAGAACACCAGUGGCGAAAGCGCUCUACUAGGUUGCAACUGACACUGAGGGACGAAAGCUAGGGGAGCGAAUGGGAUUAGAUACCCCAGUAGUCCUAGCCGUAAACGAUGGAUACUAGGCGUUUCUCGUAUCGACCCGAGGAGUGCCGGAGCCAACGCGUUAAGUAUCCCGCCUGGGGAGUACGCACGCAAGUGUGAAACUCAAAUGAAUUGACGGGG